GUCGAACGCUGGCGGCAUGCCUAAUACAUGCAAGUCGAGCGAACAGAUGAAGUGCUUGCACUUCUGACGUUAGCGGCGAACGGGUGAGUAACACGUAAGGAAUCUACCUAUAAGCGGGGGAUAACAUUCGGAAACGGGUGCUAAUACCGCAUAAUAUCCUCUUCCGCAUGGAAGAAGAUUGAAAGACGGCUCUGCUGUCACUUAUAGAUGACCUUGCGGUGCAUUAGUUAGUUGGUGGGGUAAUGGCCUACCAAGACGAUGAUGCAUGGCCGACCUGAGAGGGUGAUCGGCCACAUUGGGACUGAGACACGGCCCAAACUCCUACGGGAGGCAGCAGUAGGGAAUCUUCCGCAAUGGCGAAAGCCUGACGGAGCAAUGCCGCGUGAGUGAAGAAGGCCUUCGGGUCGUAAAACUCUGUUAUAAGAGAAGAACAAAUUGUAGAGUAACUGCUACAGUCUUGACGGUAUCUUAUCAGAGAGCCACGGCUAACUACGUGCCAGCAGCCGCGGUAA
This 512-nucleotide ribosomal RNA is filed under the name uncultured bacterium. RNAcentral describes it as "partial 16S ribosomal RNA". It matches the Rfam family "Bacterial small subunit ribosomal RNA", at positions 28 to 523 of the family's 1533-position model. The record is from RNAcentral.